GAUGAACGCUGGCGGCGUGCCUAAUACAUGCAAGUCGAGCGAACAGACGAGGGGCUUGCCCCUCUGACGUUAGCGGCGGACGGGUGAGUAACACGUGGAUAACCUACCUAUAAGACUGGGAUAACUUCGGGAAACCGGAGCUAAUACCGGAUAAUAUAUUGAACCGCAUGGUUCAAUAGUGAAAGACGGUUUUGCUGUCACUUAUAGAUGGAUCCGCGCCGCAUUAGCUAGUUGGUAAGGUAACGGCUUACCAAGGCAACGAUGCGUAGCCGACCUGAGAGGGUGAUCGGCCACACUGGAACUGAGACACGGUCCAGACUCCUACGGGAGGCAGCAGUAGGGAAUCUUCCGCAAUGGGCGAAAGCCUGACGGAGCAACGCCGCGUGAGUGAUGAAGGUCUUCGGAUCGUAAAACUCUGUUAUUAGGGAAGAACAAAUGUGUAAGUAACUAUGCACGUCUUGACGGUACCUAAUCAGAAAGCCACGGCUAACUACGUG
Molecule: ribosomal RNA, 497 nt
Filed under: uncultured bacterium
Lineage: Bacteria
Description: partial 16S ribosomal RNA
Rfam family: Bacterial small subunit ribosomal RNA
Source: RNAcentral